GUCUAUGGCCUUACCAUCCUAAACCCGAUCUCAUCUGAUCUCGGAAGCUAAGCAGGAUCGGGCCUGGUUAGUACUUGGAUGGGAGACUGCCAGGGAAUACCAGAUACUGUGGGCU
This is a ribosomal RNA of Cavia aperea (Brazilian guinea pig), 115 nucleotides long. NCBI's taxonomy places the organism in Eukaryota, Metazoa, Chordata, Mammalia, Rodentia, Caviidae. The record is from Ensembl.